GAGGGUAUAGCUAAGAGGUAGAGCACAUGCUUAGCAUCCAUGAGGUCCUGGGUUUGAUCCCCAGUAUCUCUA
This 72-nucleotide transfer RNA is filed under the name Camelus bactrianus (Bactrian camel). It matches the Rfam family "tRNA". From Rfam's summary of the family: Transfer RNA (tRNA) molecules are approximately 80 nucleotides in length. Their secondary structure includes four short double-helical elements and three loops (D, anti-codon, and T loops). RNAcentral also lists the same sequence under 2 other names. The record is from Rfam by way of RNAcentral. Lineage: Eukaryota; Metazoa; Chordata; Mammalia; Artiodactyla; Camelidae.